UGGGGAAUAUUGGACAAUGGGCGCAAGCCUGAUCCAGCCAUGCCGCGUGAGUGAUGAAGGCCCUAGGGUUGUAAAGCUCUUUCACCGGUGAAGAUAAUGACGGUAACCGGAGAAGAAGCCCCGGCUAACUUCGUGCCAGCAGCCGCGGUAAUACGAAGGGGGCUAGCGUUGUUCGGAUUUACUGGGCGUAAAGCGCACGUAGGCGGACUAUUAAGUCAGGGGUGAAAUCCCGGGGCUCAACCCCGGAACUGCCUUUGAUACUGGUAGUCUUGAGUUCGAGAGAGGUGAGUGGAAUUCCGAGUGUAGAGGUGAAAUUCGUAGAUAUUCGGAGGAACACCAGUGGCGAAGGCGGCUCUCUGGCUCGAUACUGACGCUGAGGUGCGAAAGCGUGGGGAGCAAACAGG
Molecule: ribosomal RNA, 404 nt
Filed under: Actinomycetes bacterium
Lineage: Bacteria; Bacillati; Actinomycetota; Actinomycetes
Description: Actinobacteria bacterium partial 16S ribosomal RNA
Rfam family: Bacterial small subunit ribosomal RNA
Source: RNAcentral